AUUUGUUUUGGCAAAAACAAAAGAAACCCACCAGCCUGCUUGGCUUGCUUUGUAUUGUGAUGAUCUGCCAUACAAAGAAAAGCGCAACUCAAGCUCAAGCUAAGCUAAUUGCCAGUCAGCUUCACUUGUUAGCUCUUGAGGAUGGCAAAGAUCAUCUAGUUUCCAUGGAUUGUAGUUCGAACAGGCUCAAUCUGUUUACUGCUCAAACACUUUAGAAUGCAAAGCGGCUCUUCAUUAUACAAUUCAACUUCAAUAUGAAACCUACCAUUGAUCUUGAAGUGGAGGCCUUCUCUGAAAAUGAUUCCGAGGUCAACAGCCAAGUAGCUUCCAACUUAUCCAUCCAUGAAAAUUCUGCAGGUCCCUCCAAUGAAAGCCUCACUAACUGUUCCAAUCUCACAAAUGCCAUAGCUGCUACUUCCGUUUCAGAACCAGUUUCCCUAGAUUUAACCCUUUGUUUCAAUGAUGAUGAAUUAGAGAAAAGAGGGUCAAUGGGACUCUCUUUGUCAAGCACUGGCGAGAGUAGCAAUGAACCUGUAACUCGUACAGCUGCAGCAGCCAUGCCACGAGUUUUUUCGUGCAAUUAUUGUCGGCGGAAAUUCUUCAGCUCACAGGCACUUGGUGGUCACCAGAAUGCACAUAAGAGGGAGAGAACAAUAGCAAAGCGGGCAAUGAGGAUGGGCAUUUUUUCUGAAAGGCAUGUCAGCCUGGCAUCUCUGCCUUUACAUGGAUCUUCAUUUAGGUCCCUGGGAAUCAAAGCACACUCUUCAGUACAUCAGGAUAUUUCACCACCAGUAAGGCCACAAGAUAACAGAAAUACUGCAAGAUUUGAUCAGGGGUACUUUGGGUUGCCAAUAUUCGUGGACGAUGAUGAGGCAGAGCUGUUAUGGCCAGGUAGUUUCCGCCAGGUAGCUGAGGCAGAUGAUACACAUCAAAGUUUUGUACUCACAGGAAAUUCAAAUGUGAAUUUUUUAGGGGAAACUCCAUCAGCAGACUCAGGCAAUUCCAUGCCAGACCUCACAUUGAAACUUUGAGUCCUUCAGGAGGAGUCAGGACUGGCUUCAGUCUGUCAGCUUUAAUAUUCUCUCCUUGUAUAGCAAUAUGUACUUGAGCAAUGGCUUAGCAUUUAUUCUUACGCGUACUUUCUUAUCUGAUUUUCACUUUGGUUUUGUAUGUUAGUGUAUAAGAGCUUCACAAGGAUUAUUUGGGAGCUUCAAUGCUUGUUAAGCUCUUAUACACUAACAUACAAAACCAAAGUGAAAAUCAGAUAAGAAAGUACGCGUAAGAAUAAAUGCUAAGCCAUUGCUCAAGUACAUAUUGCUAUACAAGGAGAGAAUAUUAAAGCUGACAGACUGAAGCCAGUCCUGACUCCUCCUGAAGGACUCAAAGUUUCAAUGUGAGGUCU
This 1402-nucleotide unclassified non-coding RNA is filed under the name Hevea brasiliensis (rubber tree). The record is from RNAcentral. Lineage: Eukaryota; Viridiplantae; Streptophyta; Magnoliopsida; Malpighiales; Euphorbiaceae.